GUGCAAUCUAAAAAGGACACCCUGUAUAGGUUCCCGAAGGACAUUCAUUGAAGUGUCAGAAAACUUGGCGCGCGUCUUUUGUUUGCGCCCCGAGGUAAAGUCAACAAACAAAACAGCGCUGAGUGCGGCCACCUUUGUCACGACCUCAUUUACCCGGAAGAGGGAUCGGAUUUCGAUAAUUUUGGACGAGGCAUUGAAGGCUCAACGUCUCAGGAUCGAAGCCUCGCAACGAAAAAUAUCCAUUUUAGGUCUGUUUUUACACCUAAAAAAGCCACUAGGAGGAAUGCUGAGGAUGUUGCGUGUGGUGUCUUAUUUAUGAUGGACAUCAGGUAUGCGGUAUUGCCAUCGGAGUUCCCUACGAGAAUCUGGGUCCUACCAUAGAAGGCCCGGUUCUGGACGCCCUGGAAACAGAACCACAGGAUGACAGUUUUUUGACUUCGGGAAUUUUGCGAAAUCGGCACCUUACUUUUGUUCAAGAGAUUCAUCAGCUCCAGGAAGUUCGAGGUGCCCAUAUUUCUGAACGCACUACUCAAAGAUUUUUUUUCUCAAAGAAGAUCGCGAUUCAGCGUAAACGCCACCUAUACAAAAGAAAAGAUACCGGCCCGAAUCGCGGCCAUUAGAGCCCUGAGUGGUGCUACGUGGGGCAUCUGCUGGAAAACUAGGCAAACAUAUUAUUCCGUAUUGUGCCAGUCUGUCCUGCUCUAUGCUGCCCCUGUGUAGACAAGAGUGCUACGAGAGGCCGAUUGGGCGAAACUCCGCAGCGCACAACGGGCGGCAUUAUUAGCGGUCACACAGGCCUACCGGACGACAUCGACAGAUGCCUUGACAGUAAUAGCCGGGCAUCCCCCGCUGGACCUGAAGGCAAAGGCUGUGUGUGCUACAUAGGAACUCGCCAACGAGUACCAGCCCUGUGUCCCCGUGCAAACAAAAGAAGGUCGACUCCUGGCUGAAAGAUGAAUGGCAACGCAGACGGGAUACGUCGCCCAAUGGGAGGCACACUUAUCUGCUACUGAGGAGCAUAGAGAACCGCUUGGCCAUGGCCCACCUGACGGUUGACCACUACAUGUCCCAAUUGCUGACGGGGCACGGGGACUUCUCGGCGAAGCUGCACGGCUUAGGACUGAAGGAUAGCCCAUUGUGUGAGACGGUCGAGCACGUAGCCCUUGUGUGCGAAAUGUACACUGUCCUCCGCACUCGAUGGAUGUAUGAAGCCGAUGUCGAUGAGGCUUCCAUGGACACCGUGCGUCGUGCCAUAUCCAGCCCGGCCGGGUGCAAGGCCACGCAGAAGCUGUGGAAGGCCAUUAUGAGGCAGAAAGGCUGGCCGGCCUAACUUAGGCCAGUGCCCCGAUGUGUAACCCGAAAAGUAAGAUAAGUAUGCAUUAAUCACUGCCACUACGAUGCUCUUCCCCCAGUUCCCAACCGGACGCCUUCGCGAGGCCCAUCCUGGGGGCGCCAGCUCGGCGCCGCUAAGUUCCGGCGGGGGAAUAGAUCUUCGGCCACUAGGCAGUGAAAGUUACCUGCAAAGCUCUUCAAGGGCCAAGGAGCAGGAUAAGAAGAAAGAAAGACCUAGUGGUUACUCAAGGAAGAUUAAAUCCAUAUGGACUGAUGGCUUUUCGCCCCGUAAGAGGACGAAAAUUGACCAGAGCACCCAGAGUUGCAUGGCUCGCAUAUGCUCGAGAACUCAGCCAUUGGUCUUUGGCCGAUUGGUCUGCUUACUUUUUACAUAUGAGUGUAGAUUUGCUCUACGAAUUCCAGCUGGGCGUGUAAGAGUGUGGAGAAGGCGAAAUGAAAGGUACGAAGCUUGUAAUUUUUCCCAGAUCCAACCUUUUCAACGUAGCUCAGUUUUGAAGUGGGCGGGAAUUUCCAUGGAGGUUGUUGUUGAGUUCACAGAGUUGGUUGUUGUUCGUGGAGGGUCUUUGACAGCCACUCUCUAUGUGGACGAAAUUUU
Molecule: long non-coding RNA, 1948 nt
Filed under: Cimex lectularius (bed bug)
Lineage: Eukaryota; Metazoa; Arthropoda; Insecta; Hemiptera; Cimicidae
Description: uncharacterized LOC112126295
Source: RNAcentral